RNAcentral lists this long non-coding RNA (431 nucleotides) under Homo sapiens (human). Its description in RNAcentral is "non-protein coding lnc-ZNF804A-1:8". Lineage: Eukaryota; Metazoa; Chordata; Mammalia; Primates; Hominidae. The record is from RNAcentral.
AAUGUAGACAGAAACAAACAGGCAACCCUGCAGUGGUAGUAGUGGUGACAGCAGCAGCGGCAAUGAUGGAAGCCUGCAGGAGCCAAGAGUGUAAGAAAUGGAAACCGCUUUCUCUAUUUUCUCUGGAGCUAUAGAUUCAGACGGUUAUCUUAACAGUCUGCAACAAUAUACUGAGAGAAGCACUAACGAAACUGCAUUUCUCUGUCAUGCUGUGCCAGCUGUAGUAUGUGGGAAACCUUGUCUCUCCCAAGUACCUUCUGUCUCUGGCAGCUCCAUGUAAACUUCAGGAAUGGUCAGUGCUGAGCUUUUAGUUGCUGUAUCCACCAUCUCCACAGACCAAGACCCAGUGACUUGCAUUUCUUGCCUCCAUGUCCAUGGCUUAUUUUCUCCCUACUCAGUUAUGUUAUCCUACUUCAUUCACCGAUGUUGUA